AAUAAAGUUGUUGCAGUUAAAAGCUCGAUAGUUGAACCUUGGGCUUGGUUGGCCGGUCCGCUUUAUGGCGAGUACUGGACCCAACCGAGCCUUUCCUUCUGGCUAACCUUUCGCCCUUGUGGUGUUUGGAGAACCAGGACUUUUACUUUGAAAAAAUUAGAGUGUUCAAAGCAGGCCUUUGCUCGAAUAUAUUAGCAUGGAAUAAUAGAAUAGGACGUUAUGGUUCUAUUUUGUUGGUUUCUAGGACCAUCGUAAUGAUUAAUAGGGACGGUCGGGGGCAUCAGUAUUCAGUUGUCAGAGGUGAAAUUCUUGGAUUUACUGAAGACUAACUACUGCGAAAGCAUUUGCCAAGGACGUUUUCAUUAAUCAAGAACGAAAGUUAGGGGAUCGAAGAUGAUCAGAUACCGUCGUAGUCUUAACCAUAAACUAUGCCGACUAGGGAUCGGGUGUUGUUCUUUUUUUGACGCACUCGGCACCUUACGAGAAAUCAAAGUCUUUGGGUUCUGGGGGGAGUAUGGUCGCAAGGCUGAAACUUAAAGGAAUUGACGGAAGGGCACCACCAGGAGUGGAGCCUGCGGCUUAAUUUGACUCAACACGGGGAAACUCACCAGGUCCAGACACAAUAAGGAUUGACAGAUUGAGAGCUCUUUCUUGAUUUUGUGGGUGGUGGUGCAUGGCCGUUCUUAGUUGGUGGAGUGAUUUGUCUGCUUAAUUGCGAUAACGAACGAGACCUUAACCUACUAAAUAGUGCUGCUAGCUUUUGCUGGUAUAGUCACUUCUUAGAGGGACUAUCGAUUUCAAGUCGAUGGAAGUUUGAGGCAAUAACAGGUCUGUGAUGCCCCUUAGACGUUCUGGGCCGCACGCGCGCUACACUGACGGAGCCAGCGAGUUCUAACCUUGGCCGAGAGGUCUGGGUAAUCUUGUGAAACUCCGUCGUGCUGGGAAAGCAUUGUAAUUAUGGCUCUUC
RNAcentral lists this ribosomal RNA (967 nucleotides) under Rhodotorula babjevae. RNAcentral's name for it is "SSU rRNA". It matches the Rfam family "Eukaryotic small subunit ribosomal RNA", at positions 603 to 1601 of the family's 1831-position model. Lineage: Eukaryota; Fungi; Basidiomycota; Microbotryomycetes; Sporidiobolales; Sporidiobolaceae. The record is from RNAcentral.